CACCUAUAAUAUUGUAAUAUUGCGUAAGGCUGAGUACAUUUUCAACACAUUUUUUCACUAUUCUUUUAAGACCAUUUGGCCUUUUCUAAUAAUGUCCAUGAUUCGUUUUUGUGUGUUUAUAUAGCAAGUGUCUCAAAAUUCAACUAAAAUCAGCAAAGACCACCACAGGGUUACAUUUCUGUUUCCAAAAAUAAUUCUGUGCUAGUGGAGAUGUAGGAUUUAAAAUACAAAUCACAUUCAAAGUUCUGAACUGAGGCAUUUUUGUGUAUGUAUGUAGAUACACAGGUAAAGCUGCUGCCCCCUUCAGGACUGGAAGUGCUAAAAAAAACCUCGGAAGACUUUGUGAACUCUCAAAGUAGACUGAUAUUUAGUUAUUUAGUUACAAAUAUUCAUUGGAGUCUUUGUUGGACUGUGAUAUCGCACAAAGUCAAAUAAAUGUUUGUCUAGAGAGCUGAACUGAAGAUUGUUUAUUUUGUCUUAAAGAGAGUUAGAGUGCUUGUUUUUCCACUGCUAUGACAAAUGGACGGCAAUUUCCUUGCCUAUUAAAACUGUAAUUAACCUUAAUGAAAACCAGAGCACUUCCUUCAUGGGAAAAUCGCUAAAGGGAGACAGAUCAAGUACACAAGAAGGAGCUGUUUGUAUGAAUGAGCACAGAUGGAGUCAUUGCAUGUUUAAAUGACAUGUCACACAAAUCACAGGCUUCUAUUGUAAUGUCUUUACACAAGACUGUUUUAUUGAGAGAAUAAAGCAAUUUUGGCUGAAUCCCAAUACACAUGCUUCUACUACACCUUCCAAAGAUAUGUGCUUUUGAGUAUGUAAAAAGAUGCUAUAUGCCAGUUUUGGGACGUAUACUGAUAAAAUUGUCUUGAUUCAACAUUUCAAUGUUUUGCAUGUAAAUAUUAGCAUCUCAAUAUAUUCCUGUAUUCAUUAAAUUCAAUCACCUUUACCUAAAAUCAACUUUAAAAAAAGUUGAACAUUUAUUUUUCAUUAUGUGACAUUUCUGAAUGAAAUCGAAUAUUCAACAAUAACAAAAAUAAGAAAAGACUAGAUUUUAUCCAUCUUCAUUUGUAUUACACUAUGUUUGGCUGGUAAGUUUUUUUUUUAAAUGUUCACCAAGUUUGCAUUUAUUAAGUCUACAAAAGUACAGUAAAAUUUGUAUUGGAAUAUAAUUUAAAAUCAGAUGUAUUCCUUUGAUGUCAAAGCUGAAUUUUCAGCAGCAAUUACUCAUGUCACAUGAUCCUUCAGAAAUUUGAUGUCCCAGACAUAUUUCUUAUUAUUAUAACAGUUAAAAUCAGUUGUAGUGCUUUAUAGUUUUGUGGAAACUAUUAUUUUUUUCAGGAUUUUGUGCUGUUUUAUAAAAUGUAACAUGAUAAAUUUCUUUACUUUAAAUUUUAAAAUUUAAUGAAUCAUUGUUGAACUAAAGUAUAAAUUCCUUAAAGAAAAUGACUUGACCCCAAACUAUCGAACAUUUAUGCGAAUUGGCAUUUAAUACAUUGAGUUACUGAAUAUGAAGUAUUGUCUUUGAUUUCGAGUGUCUAAAUGUGUUUCUGUGUAUGAAAAUAAUAGUGCAUUAUUUUGAAUGAUACACUUUUUCUCAACCAACAUCUUUAUAUUUGAGUCUGUGACUCCAGACAACGUGACCUUAACUCUUUAUAAAGUGUCUGAUGUUUAUGCUGUCAAGUUUGUUUUCUUACUGGAUUCAGUGACGAUUUAUUUUUAUUUCUGUAUUUUAUUGGAUUUUGAGCUCAUGAAAAUAAAUAAAACACAAACACAUCUGCAGUCUGUAAUACUGCAACAUUUUUCUCUUUAAGCUUCAUGUAGGAUAAUGAAUCUCAAACAGUGCAUGUAAAGGGAGUUUGUGUUCCUUAUUAAAAGCCACUUUGAUUUGG
Carassius carassius (crucian carp) is the source of this 1889-nucleotide long non-coding RNA. RefSeq lists it as uncharacterized. The record is from RefSeq and is a predicted model, not a curated record. The transcript has 2 exons. NCBI's taxonomy places the organism in Eukaryota, Metazoa, Chordata, Actinopteri, Cypriniformes, Cyprinidae.